GUAGGGGCCAAGCGUUAUCCGGAUUUACUGGGUGUAAAGGGAGCGUAGACGGAUGGCCAAGUCUGAUGUGAAAGGCUGGGGCUCAACCCCGGGACUGCAUUGGAAACUGCCCGUCUUGAGUGCCGGAGAGGUAAGCGGAAUUCCUAGGGUAGCGGUGAAAUGCGUAGAUAUUAGGAGGACCACCAGUGGCGAAGGCGGCUUACUGGACGGUAACUGACGUUGAGGCUCGAAAGCGUGGGGAGCAACCAGGAUUAGAUACCCUGGUAGUCCACGCGGUAAACGAUGAAUGCUAGGUGUCGGGUGCCAAAGUCAUUCGGUGCCGCCGCAACCGCAUUAAGCAUUCCACCUGGGGAGUACGUUCGCAAGAAUG
RNAcentral lists this ribosomal RNA (370 nucleotides) under uncultured bacterium. RNAcentral describes it as "bacterial SSU rRNA". It matches the Rfam family "Bacterial small subunit ribosomal RNA", at positions 527 to 896 of the family's 1533-position model. The record is from RNAcentral.